This 1010-nucleotide long non-coding RNA is filed under the name Salmo salar (Atlantic salmon). RNAcentral's name for it is "lncRNA (ENSSSAG00000115869.1)". Lineage: Eukaryota; Metazoa; Chordata; Actinopteri; Salmoniformes; Salmonidae. The record is from RNAcentral.
GUUUGAUAAUGUGCACCUGCUCAAUAGUUAGCUAACUAGCUAAUAUUAGGAGUUUUGGCUUGAAGAAGGAUUUUUAGUCAGGUUCAGUUUGAUAAUGUGCACCUGCUCAAUAGUUAGCUAGCUAGCUAAGGAGUUUUGGCUUGAAGGAUUUUUUGUUAGGUUCAGUUUGAUAAUGUGCUCCUGCUCAAUAGUUAGCUAGCUAGCUAACAUUAGGAGUUUUGUGCUUGAAGAAGGAUUUUUAGUUAGGUUCAGUUUGAUAAUGUGCACCUGCUCAAUAGUUAGCUAGCUAGCUAACAUUAGGAGUUUUGGCUUGAAGAAGGAUUUUUAGUUAGGUUCAGUUUGAUAAAGUGCACCAGCUCAAUAGUUAGCUAGCUAGUUAAGGAGUUUUGGCUUGAAGAAGAUUUUUUGUUAUGUUCAGUUUGAUCAUGUUCACCUGCUCAAUAGUUAGCUAGCUAGCUAACAUUACGAGUGUUUGCUUGAAGAAGGAUUUUUUGUUAGGUUCAGUUUGUUAAUGUGCACUUGCUCCAUAGUUAGCUAGCUAGCUAACAUUAGCUUGCUAACUGAGCCAGGCAGUCACACACAAUUCAUAUGAAACUAAUAGGGUUGGUAAGUACAUAUGGUGACAACAUUUAAUAUACCCAAAUGAGGGACAACAGGAUGAUUUUUGCAGGACAUUUGCGGGACAGUGUAUAGCCUACAUGGAACUUUUUUGGGGCAGGGCAGCACAUAAAACCCCCCACAAAAUACCCUCAAACACCAAGUUAGGCAUACCACAUUUAAAAAUAGACCAUCAUCACUGUCAGUCGUGAAUGAUAAUUCUUCACGAUUUACCAGUGAAAUGUCCAAACUGCAUCUGUAUACCAAUCAUUUGAUCUCAAUCAGUUUCAUGGGAAUAUGCAUUAAGAUCUUCUUGGAUUACUGUUUCGUGACUAAAUUAGAGCUGAUGGUGUUAACAAACCUUCCUGUAUUUUGAGUUUUGGACACAUUAUCUUUUUUUUUACUAUUCAGCU